CCUACGGGAGGCAGCAGUGAGGAAUAUUGGUCAAUGGGCGCGAGCCUGAACCAGCGAAGUAGCGUGAAGGAUGACUGCCCUACGGGUUGUAAACUUCUUUUAUAAAGGAAUAAAGUGAGGCACGUGUGCCUUUUUGUGUGUACUUUAUGAAUAAGGCACGGCUAACUCCGUGCCAGCAGCCGCGGGAAUACGGAGGAUCCGAGCGUUAUCCGGAUUUAAUGGGGUUAAAGGGAGCGUAGAUGGGUAUGUAAGUCAGUUGUGAAAGUCUGGGGCUCAACCGUAAAAUUGCAGUUGAUACUGGCAGCCUGGAGUGCAGGAGAGGUAGGCGGAAGUCGUGGUGUAGCGGUGAAAUGCUUAGAUAUCACGAAGAACUCCGAUUGCGAAGGCAGCUUACUGAACUGCAACUGACGUUGAUGCUCGAAAGUGUGGGGAUCAAACAGGAUUAGAUACCCCUGUAGUC
Molecule: ribosomal RNA, 460 nt
Filed under: uncultured bacterium
Lineage: Bacteria
Description: partial 16S ribosomal RNA
Rfam family: Bacterial small subunit ribosomal RNA
Source: RNAcentral